This 497-nucleotide ribosomal RNA is filed under the name uncultured bacterium. RNAcentral's name for it is "partial 16S ribosomal RNA". It matches the Rfam family "Bacterial small subunit ribosomal RNA", at positions 28 to 507 of the family's 1533-position model. The record is from RNAcentral.
GAUGAACGCUGGCGGCGUGCCUAAUACAUGCAAGUCGAGCGAACGGACGAGAAGCUUGCUUCUCUGAUGUUAGCGGCGGACGGGUGAGUAACACGUGGAUAACCUACCUAUAAGACUGGGAUAACUUCGGGAAACCGUAGCUAAUACCGGAUAAUAAUUUGAACCGCAUGGUUCAAAAGUGAAAGACGUUCUUGCUGUCACUUAUAGAUGGAUCCGCGCUGCAUUAGCUAGUUGGUAAGGUAACGGCUUAACAAGGCAACGAUGGAUAGCCGUCAUGAGGGGGACGACGGCUACACUGGCACUGAGACACGGCCCAGACUCCGGGGGUAGGACGCGGUAGGGACUCUUACGCAAUGCAGGAAAGCCUGACGGAGCAACGCCGCGUGAGUGAUGAAGGACUUCGGAUCGGAGAGCGCUGUUAGUAGGCAAGAAGAUAUGUGUAAGUUACUGGGCACAUCUUGACGGUACCUAAGCAGAAAGCCACGGCUAACUACGUG